This 253-nucleotide unclassified non-coding RNA is filed under the name uncultured Flavobacteriaceae bacterium. Its description in RNAcentral is "contains 16S-23S intergenic spacer region". It matches the Rfam family "Bacterial small subunit ribosomal RNA", at positions 524 to 776 of the family's 1533-position model. Lineage: Bacteria; Pseudomonadati; Bacteroidota; Flavobacteriia; Flavobacteriales; Flavobacteriaceae. The record is from RNAcentral.
UACGGAGGAUCCAAGCGUUAUCCGGAAUCAUUGGGUUUAAAGGGUCCGUAGGCGGGGCAAUAAGUCAGUGGUGAAAGUCUGCAGCUCAACUGUAGAACUGCCAUUGAUACUGUUGUCCUUGAGUUACUGUGAAGUUGUUGGAAUAUGUAGUGUAGCGGUGAAAUGCAUAGAUAUUACAUAGAACACCGAUUGAGAAGGCAGAUCACUAACGGUGCACUGACGCGGAUGGACGAAAGCGUAGGUAGCGAACAGG